RNAcentral lists this ribosomal RNA (502 nucleotides) under uncultured Glomeromycotina. RNAcentral describes it as "partial small subunit ribosomal RNA". It matches the Rfam family "Eukaryotic small subunit ribosomal RNA", at positions 591 to 1092 of the family's 1831-position model. Lineage: Eukaryota; Fungi; Glomeromycota. The record is from RNAcentral.
CCAAUAGCGUAUAUUAAAGUUGUUGCAGUUAAAAAGCUCGUAGUUGAAUUUCGGAAUCUGUCCAUCGGUCGGGCUUCACUGUCCGUACUGGUGUGGUGGGUUCUUACCUUCUGAAUAACCAGCAUGCCAUUAAUUUGGUGCGUUGGGGAAGCAGGACUAUUACCUUGAAAAAAUUAGAGUGCUCAAAGCAGGCCAGUGCCUGAAUACAUUAGCAUGGAAUAAUAAAAUAGGACGGCAUGGUUCUAUUUUGUUGGUUUCUAGGAUCACCGUAAUGAUUAAUAGGGAUAGUUGGGGGCAUUAGUAUUCAAUUGUCAGAGGUGAAAUUCUUGGAUUUAUUGAAGACUAACUUCUGCGAAAGCAUUUGCCAAGGAUGUUUUCAUUAAUCAAGAACGAAAGUUAGGGGAUCGAAGACGAUCAGAUACCGUCGUAGUCUUAACCAUAAACUAUGCCGACUAGGGAUCGGACGAUGUUAAUUUUUUAAUGACUCGUUCGGCGCCUUGCG